UACAGAGACCCCAAGCGUUAUCCGGAGUUACUGGGCGUAAAGCGCAAGUAGUCGGUUUUUGUAGUCUGAUGUUAAAUCUCAUGGCCCAACUGUGAGGCUGCAUCAGAAACGCAAGAACUAGAGCAUGUCAGAGGCAAGCGGAACGUGCGGUGUAGCGGUGAAAUGCAUUGAUAUCGCACGGAACACCAAAAGCGAAGGCAGCUUGCUGGGGCAUUGCUGACGAUCAGUUGCGAAAGCGUGGGGAU
Molecule: ribosomal RNA, 245 nt
Filed under: uncultured bacterium
Lineage: Bacteria
Description: partial 16S ribosomal RNA
Rfam family: Bacterial small subunit ribosomal RNA
Source: RNAcentral